UUAGGCCAUUAUCUACAGCUGACGAGUGCCGAGAAGAGCAAAACCCAUUAGAUUCUGUAGUACUGGCCUCAGAAUCA
This 77-nucleotide non-coding RNA is filed under the name Colius striatus (speckled mousebird). Lineage: Eukaryota; Metazoa; Chordata; Aves; Coliiformes; Coliidae. The record is from RNAcentral.